UAAGGAAUAUUGGUCAAUGGACGCAAGUCUGAACCAGCCAUGCCGCGUGAAGGAUUAAGGCCCUCUGGGUUGUAAACUUCUUUUAUAGGGGAAGAAAUGUGACGGUUCUCCGUCACUUGACGGUACCCUGGGAAUAAGCACCGGCUAACUCCGUGCCAGCAGCCGCGGUAAUACGGAGGGUGCAAGCGUUAUCCAGAUUCACUGGGUUUAAAGGGUGCGUAGGUGGGCAGAUAAGUCAGUGGUGAAAUCUUCCGGCUUAACCGGGAAACUGCCGUUGAUACUAUUUGUCUUGAAUAUUGCGGAGGUAAACGGAAUAUGUCAUGUAGCGGUGAAAUGCUUAGAUAUGACAAAGAACACCAAUUGCGAAGGCAGCUUACUACACAAUCAUUGACACUGAGGCACGAAAGCGUGGGUAGCGAACA
Molecule: ribosomal RNA, 422 nt
Filed under: uncultured bacterium
Lineage: Bacteria
Description: bacterial SSU rRNA
Rfam family: Bacterial small subunit ribosomal RNA
Source: RNAcentral